This 261-nucleotide long non-coding RNA is filed under the name Olea europaea (common olive). RNAcentral describes it as "long non-coding RNA (OEUR_LNC012632)". Lineage: Eukaryota; Viridiplantae; Streptophyta; Magnoliopsida; Lamiales; Oleaceae. The record is from RNAcentral.
AAGUUUAGAGAGAUGAAGAAUAAGAACUUAUAUCUCAAAAUUACAGAGAGACUCUCAAGAUCUACUACGAAAUCUACCAAAACACUUUGAUCAGAACCAAGAACCAACAAUAACCAGAAUCACAUAGAUUUCCAAAUAUUCACACAGAAUGUGACACAAACGAAGGAUUAUUGUAUCAAUCUUAACUUAAAAUCAGAAAUUUUAAGAAGAAAAACAAGAAGGUAAAAUCAUCUCUUUUCUCUAUUUUUCUUUCACUUUUUC